This 745-nucleotide ribosomal RNA is filed under the name Bacillus subtilis. RNAcentral describes it as "bacterial SSU rRNA". It matches the Rfam family "Bacterial small subunit ribosomal RNA", at positions 56 to 784 of the family's 1533-position model. The record is from RNAcentral. Lineage: Bacteria; Bacillati; Bacillota; Bacilli; Caryophanales; Bacillaceae.
UGCGAGUCGAGCGGACAGAAGGGAGCUUGCUCCCGGAUGUUAGCGGCGGACGGGUGAGUAACACGUGGGUAACCUGCCUGUAAGACUGGGAUAACUCCGGGAAACCGGAGCUAAUACCGGAUAGUUCCUUGAACCGCAUGGUUCAAGGAUGAAAGACGGUUUCGGCUGUCACUUACAGAUGGACCCGCGGCGCAUUAGCUAGUUGGUGAGGUAACGGCUCACCAAGGCGACGAUGCGUAGCCGACCUGAGAGGGUGAUCGGCCACACUGGGACUGAGACACGGCCCAGACUCCUACGGGAGGCAGCAGUAGGGAAUCUUCCGCAAUGGACGAAAGUCUGACGGAGCAACGCCGCGUGAGUGAUGAAGGUUUUCGGAUCGUAAAGCUCUGUUGUUAGGGAAGAACAAGUGCAAGAGUAACUGCUUGCACCUUGACGGUACCUAACCAGAAAGCCACGGCUAACUACGUGCCAGCAGCCGCGGUAAUACGUAGGUGGCAAGCGUUGUCCGGAAUUAUUGGGCGUAAAGGGCUCGCAGGCGGUUUCUUAAGUCUGAUGUGAAAGCCCCCGGCUCAACCGGGGAGGGUCAUUGGAAACUGGGAAACUUGAGUGCAGAAGAGGAGAGUGGAAUUCCACGUGUAGCGGUGAAAUGCGUAGAGAUGUGGAGGAACACCAGUGGCGAAGGCGACUCUCUGGUCUGUAACUGACGCUGAGGAGCGAAAGCGUGGGGAGCGAACAGGAUUAGAUA